CUGCCAACAUAUCAGAAAAAGCCCUACUCGCCUGGAUCAUCCUUGGUUAGUUUCCGGACUUAUGAAGGUGCCACAUUAAUCUGUUCAAACAAUUACACGCAACCAUAAACACCCAGAAGACGUCCAGCCGUCACGUUGUUCAGGAAGGAGACGGCUUACAGUGUUUUGGUCUCACUGCAGACCAAAAGCAGAAGAGUGUGUGGCGAUGGCGGCUCCAGCUGGCAAACGUGUCAUUAUACACAAUGAGACAUGUUUUCUACCAACAUGGACUGGAAGGCCAUCCAGCAAAGAGGAAGCCAUUAUUUCAGAAGCGACAUAUAAAACAAGACUAACAUCCAAAUUAGUGUCAGAGAAAAAAUGUUUAUGUAUUUUUUUUUUGUUGUACAGUGUAUGUAAAUAUCUGGUUUCAACUGUGCAAAAAAUUAAAUAAAAAUCUAGAUUUCAUUCAACCUACAACUUUAAAUACAGAAAAACUCUUACAAACUAACUUAAUCACAUGGAAAAAUAAUCCGGUUGACUCUACUGCUACUAAACUGGUCAAAUAAAUUAAGAGGAAAUUUUUGCACAUUGUUGUUUAACAUACAGUUCUGACCACAAGCUUUCAUUCAAUCACUGUUAGUAAGACGGUGAGCCGUUCCUUCUGAUUUAAACACAAUGUUUUAAUUUUAUCAACGUGUUUCUUCUGACCAGAAGCAAAGUUUAAUGUUUGGAGUGGCCCAGUCCAGAUUUCAAACUGAUAGCAAGUCUGUAAAGAGAACUAAAGGUUAGGGUGAUGGCAAGGAGUUUCCUACAAAAUAUGAAUACCAGUGGAAAUGUUCAAUUCAGGAAUAAACAUUUUUUAUCAAAUGAAAAUAACUGAAUCUACGUCACCCAGAGAUAUGAUAAAAAAACAAAAAAAGCGUUCAAAAAAAUCAUUAAAACACACAAAUAAACAUGACUUUCAUGCUGAUGAGUAUGAGUAUUGCAUAAUGAACUGUAUGUUCAUUGUGCAAAUCCAAUCAAACUGCUAAGUGUCAGAGCUAAUUCAAUCGCUCAAUGGAAAUGCUGAAUUAUUUUUCUACAAAUAAAACAAAUAUAUUUUAAGGCGGGGAUGGGGAGCCUCCUGGAGCCAUUUUAUUACUUUCAGCCAUUAAUAUUUAACAGUUCCUGUGCAGAAUCCUCAGCCAUGGUUUUUCUUAGCUGUGCAGUGACUCUGGGUCGAAUCGUUUCUACAGUCUCAAAGCUUUAUGAAAGU
Molecule: long non-coding RNA, 1234 nt
Organism: Poecilia latipinna (sailfin molly)
Lineage: Eukaryota; Metazoa; Chordata; Actinopteri; Cyprinodontiformes; Poeciliidae
Exons: 2
Source: RefSeq, a predicted model, not a curated record